GACGAACGCUGGCGGCGUGCCUAAUACAUGCAAGUUGAGCGCUGAAGGUUGGUACUUGUACCGAUUGGAUGAGCAGCGAACGGGUGAGUAACGCGUGGGUAAUCUGCCUUUGAGCGUGGGACAACAUUUGGAAACGAAUGCUAAUACCGCAUAAAAUCUUUAAACACAAGUUUUAAGUUUGAAAGAUGCAAUUGCAUCACUCAAAGAUGAUCUCGCGUUGUAUUAGCUAGUUUGUUAGGUAAACGCUCACCAAGGCGAAGAUACAUAGCCGGACUGAGAAGGUGAACGGGCAAAAUGGGACUUGGACACGGCCCAAGCUCCUUAGGGAGGCAGCAGUAGGGGAAUUUCGGCAAUGGACGGAAGGCUUACCGAACAAAGGCGGGGGGGGUAAGAAGGGUUUCGGAACGUAAAACUCUGUUGAUAGGGAAGGACGUAGGGGAGAGUGAAAAGUUCAUGAAUUGACGGUAACUACCCAGAAAGGGACGGCUAACUACGUG
This 497-nucleotide ribosomal RNA is filed under the name uncultured bacterium. RNAcentral describes it as "partial 16S ribosomal RNA". It matches the Rfam family "Bacterial small subunit ribosomal RNA", at positions 28 to 507 of the family's 1533-position model. The record is from RNAcentral.